Molecule: unclassified non-coding RNA, 378 nt
Filed under: plant metagenome
Description: partial contains 5.8S ribosomal RNA, internal transcribed spacer 2, and large subunit ribosomal RNA
Rfam family: 5.8S ribosomal RNA (bases 1-105)
Source: RNAcentral
GAAAUGCGAUAAGUAAUGUGAAUUGCAGAAUUCAGUGAAUCAUCGAAUCUUUGAACGCAUCUUGCGCUCCUUGGUAUUCCUUGGAGCAUGCCUGUUUGAGUAUCAUGAAAUCUUCAAAGUAAAUCUUUUGUUAACUCAAUUGGUUUCUACUUUGGUAUUGGAGGUCUUUGCAGCUUCACACCUGCUCCUCUUUGUUCAUUAGCUGGAUCUCAGUGUUAUGCUUGGUUCCACUCGGCGUGAUAAGUUAUCUAUCGCUGAGGACACUGUAAAAGGUGGCCAAGGUAAAUGCAGAUGAACCGCUUCUAAUAGUACAAUGACUUGGACAAUACUUUUAUGAUCUGAUCUCAAAUCAGGUAGGACUACCCGCUGAACUUAAGC